This 355-nucleotide unclassified non-coding RNA is filed under the name soil metagenome. RNAcentral describes it as "partial contains 5.8S ribosomal RNA, internal transcribed spacer 2, and large subunit ribosomal RNA". The stretch from base 1 to 120 matches the Rfam family "5.8S ribosomal RNA", at positions 35 to 154 of the family's 154-position model. The record is from RNAcentral.
GAUGAAGAACGUAGUGAAAUGCGAUAAGUAAUGUGAAUUGCAGAAUUCAGUGAAUCAUCGAAUCUUUGAACGCACAUUGCGCCCAUUAGUAUUCUAGUGGGCAUGCCUGUUCGAGCGUCAUUAAGUCCACUUAAGCCCUGCUUAGUGUUGGGAGACUGCUCCAGCGGUGCUACCCUGUAGCUACCCUGCAGCUCCUCAAAGACAGCGGCGGAGUUGUGGUAUCCUCUGAGCUUAGUAACUUGUUCUAGCUUUCGAGUACACCACUUCCCCUGCCGUAAAACCCUUAAUUUUUAAUGGUUGACCUCGGAUCAGGUAGGAAUACCCGCUGAACUUAAGCAUAUCAAUAAGCGGACGA